AGUGAACGCUGGCGGUAGGCCUAACACAUGCAAGUCGAACGGCAGCACAGUAAGAGCUUGCUCUUACGGGUGGCGAGUGGCGGACGGGUGAGGAAUACGUCGGAAUCUACUUUUUCGUGGGGGAUAACGUAGGGAAACUUACGCUAAUACCGCAUACGACCUACGGGUGAAAGCAGGGGAUCUUCGGACCUUGCGCGAUUGAAUGAGCCGAUGUCGGAUUAGCUAGUUGGCGGGGUAAAGGCCCACCAAGGCGACGAUCCGUAGCUGGUCUGAGAGGAUGAUCAGCCACACUGGAACUGAGACACGGUCCAGACUCCUACGGGAGGCAGCAGUGGGGAAUAUUGGACAAUGGGCGCAAGCCUGAUCCAGCCAUACCGCGUGGGUGAAGAAGGCCUUCGGGUUGUAAAGCCCUUUUGUUGGGAAAGAAAAGCAGCAGGUUAAUACCCCGCUGUUCUGACGGUACCCAAAGAAUAAGCUCCGGCUAACUUCGUG
This 492-nucleotide ribosomal RNA is filed under the name uncultured bacterium. RNAcentral describes it as "partial 16S ribosomal RNA". It matches the Rfam family "Bacterial small subunit ribosomal RNA", at positions 29 to 507 of the family's 1533-position model. The record is from RNAcentral.